Suricata suricatta (meerkat) is the source of this 607-nucleotide long non-coding RNA. RefSeq lists it as uncharacterized. Lineage: Eukaryota; Metazoa; Chordata; Mammalia; Carnivora; Herpestidae. The transcript has 3 exons. The record is from RefSeq and is a predicted model, not a curated record.
UCACCAGCUCAGGAGUAGGAGCCGACAUCAGUACCAGUCCAACUACUGCGGCUUCAUCUGGUCAUGGUGACCUUCAGAUGCAGAUCGAAAGAAUUUGUGAGCAAGAAGUGUGUCACAUUUCCCAUCCAGGCCCACGGAAGGCCCUGGGCACAGACCCUCCCUUAGAAUGCUGUAAAGCCAUCAUGGAGGGAGAGAUGGACGCAGUUAAGCAAGAUAAACCACAAUCUAGAAGGAUGAGAAAGCAAAGAACGCCAGUUCAACUCUCAGGUGCUGCCGAGGCCUCAGGUCGCCAUGCUGUGCCCAGUAGGGCCUGGGCGAAUUCCCCCACUUCACUAAGCAGCAGAGGUGUGAGGAGCUCUCCUGAAACAGACUCUGAUGGCUCCUAAGAGAGUUCCUCCUCUCCAUGGUUACGACUGGCGUGGACUCACAGGGACCACCGAGGGCCCUGGCAGAUGGACGGGCCAGCACUGGGAAGUCUAAACAGCCACCUCCAAAGCUCAGCCAGAGAAAGAAAACAGGAGCAGAAAAAAGACCUGCAGCUGUGGACUGCCCUGCUGAUUCCAGGGAGGUCCACGAGCUUCAGAUCAAAAUACCAGAUACACUUCAA